This 422-nucleotide ribosomal RNA is filed under the name uncultured bacterium. RNAcentral's name for it is "bacterial SSU rRNA". It matches the Rfam family "Bacterial small subunit ribosomal RNA", at positions 358 to 772 of the family's 1533-position model. The record is from RNAcentral.
GGAAUAUUGGACAAUGGGCGAAAGCCUGAUCCAGCCAUGCCGCGUGUGUGAAGAAGGUCUUCGGAUUGUAACGCACUUUAAGUUGGGAGGAAGGGUUGUAGAUUAAUACUCUGCAAUUUGGACGUUACCGACAGAGGACGCACCGGCUACCUCUGUGCCAGCAGCCGCGGUAAUACAGAGGGUGCAAGCGUUAAUCGGAAUUACUGGGCGUAAAGCGCGCGUAGGUGGUCAUGUAAGUUGGAGGUGAAAUCCCCGGGCUCAACCUGGGAACUGCCUCCAAAACUGCAUGGCUAGAGUAUGGUAGAGGGUGGUGGAAUUUCCUGUGUAGCGGUGAAAUGCGUAGAUAUAGGAAGGAACAUCAGUGGCGAAGGCGACCACCUGGACUGAUACUGACACUGUGGUGCGAAAGCGUGGGGAGCAAA